Molecule: long non-coding RNA, 992 nt
Organism: Leopardus geoffroyi (Geoffroy's cat)
Lineage: Eukaryota; Metazoa; Chordata; Mammalia; Carnivora; Felidae
Exons: 2
Source: RefSeq, a predicted model, not a curated record
AUAGACUUCAAGGGCACCAUGCUAAGUGAAGUCAGAGAAAGACAAAUACUGUAAGAGAGUACUUAUAUGUGGAAUCUAAAAAGGCUGACAUCACAGAAACAGAGUUUAGAAUAGUGGUCACCAGGAGCUUGGGGGUAGAGGAAGGAGGGAGAUGAUCAGCAAAGGGUAAAAACUUCCAUUAUAGUUAACAGUACUGUAUUGUACACAGGACUCUAGACCCACAUGAUGUACCCUGAAGAAAGUCUUUCACAGAGCAAACAAAGCAGGAAAAUCUCAAGUACUACAUUAUCUUCCUGGAUAUUUGCCAUGGAAGGAACAUAUUAAAGGUUCGGAGAAGUUCUGCAGUCAAGAAAGAUUUUCCCCCUAGCCUUCUCCCAAAUGGUUUGGGCUUGGAAUUGCUUUUCCUUUGUUCUCUCUAUAAAACCUUAGUUAUCAUCAUCAUCUAUCUAGACAGACUCCCAUAAAAUACACUUCAGGAAACAUGGGCACACCUGUAAGCUAAUUAUACUAUAAGACUCUUAACACACAGUAGGUAUAACACAGAGUAGGCAAAAAGAAGAAAACAAAAGAUUCUGUUCCUCAGAAUUAGUUCUUCAUGAGCAGAAAAACAAGAAAGAACUAGCAUGUAUUGUCAUCUGCUGUAGGGUGACAUUCCACGUGAAGUUUUUCAAACUCAGUGAAUCAUCACAAUCCUAUGGUGGUUAUCAACAUUCUGUUUCAUGCAGAAGAGGACACUGAAGAGCAGGAAUGUCUUAGGUCCCUCCCAGGGUCACAAGAACAAGAAAUGGCAGGGCAGGGACAUUAAAGCCCUGUGCUGUAUACCCUCAGCAACAAAGAAGUCAUCUUUUCACACUACGCAGAUCUCUGUGAAACUAACCCAUUUUGAAAUAUUUGUCCUAUGUGACAUCACAAUAUUGUUAAUGGUUCCCCUCUCUUUCCAACUGUCUGCUUAGUAUAAUGAAAUGAAACCAUUAAAAUGGAAAUUCAACUUG